AUGCAACGCGAAAAACCUUACCUACCUUUGACAUGUACGGAAUUCGCCAGAGAUGGCUUAGUGCUCGAAAGAGAACCGUAACACAGGUGCUGCAUGGCUGUCGUCAGCUCGUGUCGUGAGAUGUUGGGUUAAGUCCCGCAACGAGCGCAACCCUUGUCAUUAGUUGCUACAUUUAGUUGGGCACUCUAAUGAGACUGCCGGUGACAAACCGGAGGAAGGUGGGGAUGACGUCAAGUCCUCAUGGCCCUUAUAGGUAGGGCUACACACGUCAUACAAUGGAUGGUACAAAGGGUCGCCAACCCGCGAGGGGGAGCCAAUCCCAUAAAACCAUUCGUAGUCCGGAUCGCAGUCUGCAACUCGACUG
This 364-nucleotide ribosomal RNA is filed under the name unidentified activated sludge bacterium AI346. RNAcentral describes it as "bacterial SSU rRNA". It matches the Rfam family "Bacterial small subunit ribosomal RNA", at positions 954 to 1318 of the family's 1533-position model. The record is from RNAcentral.